This 318-nucleotide ribosomal RNA is filed under the name Triticum aestivum (bread wheat). Its description in RNAcentral is "partial small subunit ribosomal RNA". The record is from RNAcentral. Lineage: Eukaryota; Viridiplantae; Streptophyta; Magnoliopsida; Poales; Poaceae.
AUGGGAGCAGCAGAAAUGCAGUACAGGUUCUUUGGAGACGUCAUAACUUUCGACACCACUUAUAGGACAAAGCUAUACAACAUGCCUUUUGGACUAUUUGUUGGGGUGAACAAUCAUUUUCAGAGUAUAAUUCUUGCGGGUGUCUUGAUGAGGGGCGAACAAGAAGAGACUUUCGAGUGGGUGUCCUCGGAGUUCGUGCUGAUGAUGGGAGGACCUGCUCCAAGGACUAUUCUGACAGACGAAAACCACCCCAUGGAAUUGGCCAUAAAGAAGAUUUAUCCAGGCACCGUGCAUAGGUGGUGCAAUGGCAUGUCCUGA